Molecule: ribosomal RNA, 1247 nt
Filed under: metagenome
Description: bacterial LSU rRNA
Rfam family: Bacterial large subunit ribosomal RNA
Source: RNAcentral
UAUACGACCGUACCGCAAACCGACACUGGUGCGCGAGAUGAGUAUUCUAAGGCGCUUGAGAGAACUCAGGAGAAGGAACUCGGCAAAUUGACACCGUAACUUCGGAAGAAGGUGUGCCCUAUUAGUGUGUAGUGAACAACGAAGCAUGAAUGGGUUGCAAAAAAUCGGUGGCUGCGACUGUUUAUUAAAAACACAGCACUCUGCAAACACGAAAGUGGACGUAUAGGGUGUGACGCCUGCCCGGUGCUGGAAGAUUAAAUGAUGGGGUGCAAGCUCUUGAUUGAAGUCCCAGUAAACGGCGGCCGUAACGAUAACGGUCCUAAGGUAGCGAAAUUCCUUGUCGGGUAAGUUCCGACCUGCACGAAUGGCGUAACGAUGGCCACACUGUCUCCUCCUGAGACUCAGCGAAGUUGAAAUGUUUGUGAUGAUGCAAUCUCCCCGCGGAAAGACGGAAAGACCCCAUGAACCUUUACUGUAGCUUUGUAUUGGACUUUGAACAGAUCUGUGUAGGAUAGGUGGGAGGCUUUGAAGCAGGGUCGCUAGAUCUUGUGGAGCCAACGUUGAAAUACCACCCUGGUGUGUUUGAGGUUCUAACCUAGGUCCAUUAUCUGGAUCGGGGACAGUGCAUGGUAGGCAGUUUGACUGGGGCGGUCUCCUCCCAAAGCGUAACGGAGGAGUUCGAAGGUACGCUAGUUACGGUCGGACAUCGUGACGAUAGUGCAAUGGCAUAAGCGUGCUUAACUGCGAGACUGACAAGUCGAGCAGAUGCGAAAGCAGGACAUAGUGAUCCGGUGGUUCUGUAUGGAAGGGCCAUCGCUCAACGGAUAAAAGGUACUCUGGGGAUAACAGGCUGAUACCGCCCAAGAGUUCAUAUCGACGGCGGUGUUUGGCACCUCGAUGUCGGCUCAUCUCAUCCUGGGGCUGUAGCCGGUCCCAAGGGUAUGGCUGUUCGCCAUUUAAAGAGGUACGUGAGCUGGGUUUAAAACGUCGUGAGACAGUUUGGUCCCUAUCUUCCGUGGGCGCUGCAGAUUUGAGGAAGCCUGCUCCUAGUACGAGAGGACCGGAGUGGACACACCUCUGGUGUAUCGGUUGUCACGCCAGUGGCAUUGCCGAGUAGCUAAGUGUGGAAGAGAUAACCGCUGAAAGCAUCUAAGCGGGAAACUCGUUUCAAGAUGAGAUCUGCCGGGGCCUUGAGCCCCCUAAAGAGUCGUUCAAGACCAGGACGUUGAUAGGUCAGGUGUGGAAGC